RNAcentral lists this ribosomal RNA (271 nucleotides) under uncultured archaeon. Its description in RNAcentral is "partial 16S ribosomal RNA". It matches the Rfam family "Archaeal small subunit ribosomal RNA", at positions 477 to 747 of the family's 1478-position model. The record is from RNAcentral.
CGGCAGCCCGAGUGGUGAUCACUAUUAUUGGGUCUAAAGGGUCCGUAGCCGGUUUGAUCAGUCUUUUGGGAAAUCUGACAGCUUAACUGUUAGGCUUCCAAAGGAUACUGUCAGACUUGGGACCGGGAGAGGUAAGAGGUACUACAGGGGUAGGAGUGAAAUCUUGUAAUCCCUGUGGGACCACUAGUGGCGAAGGCGUCUUACCAGAACGGGUCCGACGGUGAGGGACGAAAGCUGGGGGCACGAACCGGAUUAGAUACCCGAGUAGUCC